CUCGAGUGGCGAACGGGUGAGUAACACGUGGGUGAUCUGCCCUGCACUUCGGGAUAAGCUUGGGAAACUGGGUCUAAUACCGGAUAGGAGCCAUCUUUAGUGUGGUGGUUGGAAAGUUUUUUCGGUGUAGGAUGAGCUCGCGGCCUAUCAGCUUGUUGGUGGGGUAAUGGCCUACCAAGGCGGCGACGGGUAGCCGGCCUGAGAGGGUGUACGGCCACAUUGGGACUGAGAUACGGCCCAGACUCCUACGGGAGGCAGCAGUGGGGAAUAUUGCACAAUGGGCGCAAGCCUGAUGCAGCGACGCCGCGUGGGGGAUGAAGGCCUUCGGGUUGUAAACUCCUUUCGCUAGGGACGAAGCUUUUUGUGACGGUACCUAGAUAAGAAGCACCGGCUAACUACGUGCCAGCAGCCGCGGUAAUACGUAGGGUGCGAGCGUUGUCCGGAAUUACUGGGCGUAAAGGGCUCGUAGGUGGUUUGUCGCGUCGUCUGUGAAAUUCUGGGGCUUAACUCCGGGCGUGCAGGCGAUACGGGCAUAACUUGAGUGCUGUAGGGGUAACUGGAAUUCCUGGUGUAGCGGUGAAAUGCGCAGAUAUCAGGAGGACACCGAUGGCGAAGGCAGGUUACUGGGCAGUU
This 633-nucleotide ribosomal RNA is filed under the name uncultured Actinomycetales bacterium. RNAcentral describes it as "bacterial SSU rRNA". It matches the Rfam family "Bacterial small subunit ribosomal RNA", at positions 90 to 738 of the family's 1533-position model. The record is from RNAcentral. Lineage: Bacteria; Bacillati; Actinomycetota; Actinomycetes; Actinomycetales.